RNAcentral lists this ribosomal RNA (467 nucleotides) under uncultured bacterium. RNAcentral describes it as "bacterial SSU rRNA". It matches the Rfam family "Bacterial small subunit ribosomal RNA", at positions 338 to 795 of the family's 1533-position model. The record is from RNAcentral.
CCUACGGGGGGCUGCAGUCGAGAAUAGUCUACAAUGGACGGAAGUCUGAUAGUGCGACGCCGCGUGAACGAAGAAUCCCUUCGGGGUGUAAAGUUCUUUUAUACGUGAGCAGUGCCCUUUAUAUGAAUAGUAUAGAGGGAGGGAUUUAAGCGUAUGAAUAAGCAACGGCUAACUCCGUGCCAGCAGCCGCGGUAACACGGGGGUUGCAAGCGUUGUCCGGAAUUACUAGGCGUAAAGUGCAGGUAGGCGGAUAGAUAAGUUUAAGGUUAAAGGCUACGGCUUACCCGUAGUAAGGCGUUAGAUACUGUUUAUCUGGAAUGCGGUUGAGGGAGACAGAAUUCCUGGUGUAGCGGUGGAAUGCGCAGAGAUCAGGAGGAAUACCGAAGGCGAAGGCAGUCUUCUAAGCCGAUAUUGACGCUAAACUGCGAAGGUGUGGGGAUCAAACAGGAUUAGAUACCCCAGUAGUC